CUAACCUCUAAGCUACCUGCCACCUUUGAUGUAUAAUUUUGUGAUGUCAUCUUGCAGUCUGACUCUAAUUUAGUUCUGAGAAGGUCUUCUACGACAGUGUCUUCCAGGCGAAAGGCAUGUCCAUAAAAAGUACAAGCGUGUAAUUAUUCUCUUACAGUUUCUAUAACAUAGCUUUAUGUUAAUCUCUGCACUUCACUGUGAUUAUUAUGUUGUAGACACCAGGCAAAGGAAUGUGUGGCACAUCAGAGUGGACAGCGGCCAAAGAGUCGUCAAAAAAAUUAUCUGCUAAAGAUAAGGGCCUUGAGAUAGCAGUUUGCCAACAUGGCAUGCUCCUCAAGGUCCUCAACAUGUGCAGAUGUGAAAUAUAUGCCUACGCAGUGUACUUGCAGAAGGAGUUGUGUUCUGUUGGCACGGUGGGCUUCUUCUGCUGCGAUGUUGCAUGCAAAUACUGGCCAUAUUUGCAGAAGUCAUGCAGGCAUGCCCAGAGUUGGAGGAGCUUCUAAAAAUGCACCCUCUCCAUCAUGCAUGCGAAGGCGCAUACCUCUUGUGAGCUCAAAUGGGGAGGCCACAAUCAGCCUGGUACCAGCAACACAACCAGAGAAGGAAGUCAAGCAGGAUGUCAAUGAUGCUGUGCUUCAGGAGUGAGUUGCUGAGGUGCAGCAGUGGCCUGAAGCAGGAGAGGUAAAAUGCCGCCACCACCUGCUUCAGGAGCAGCCUGGUCUCCUGAGGUUGACACCUGACCCCUCACCUCUGAACCUAUCCAGGGAAAUAUGAUUUGCCUGAUGACACUCUAGUUGAAAUUUCGGCACAUUUGUUGCCAUGUUUCCUCACCUCCAUUUCUUCCGGUCCUAGACUAUGGCGACAUCAUCAUCAAUUCAGAAAUUGAUCUGAGGACCUCUUUACUGAGGAAUGUGGUUGUUCUACAUGAUUGUUUGUAUUUUCUAUGCUGCUGUGAUUUAUGUGUAAUUGUGAGUUGCAAAAGAGUCUUUGGUCUCAAUGGGCCUGGUAAAAUAAAUGAAGUAAAGGUCUUAAUAAACAUUCAUUAAGCACUAACAGCUCUGUGUCUGUGUUUCAAUCGAUUACAUACAGUGGUUGCUCCACUAAAAGUUUUGCAAUUAUGCUGCAGG
This is a long non-coding RNA of Oncorhynchus tshawytscha (Chinook salmon), 1127 nucleotides long. Lineage: Eukaryota; Metazoa; Chordata; Actinopteri; Salmoniformes; Salmonidae. The record is from Ensembl.